GGUUUUAUAUUCAAAAUAUUAUGAUUUCAGAUUGCAAAUCUGAAGGUAUCUUUAAGAUUAAAACCU
This 66-nucleotide transfer RNA is filed under the name Cysteochila lineata. RNAcentral describes it as "tRNA-Cys". The record is from RNAcentral. Lineage: Eukaryota; Metazoa; Arthropoda; Insecta; Hemiptera; Tingidae.